RNAcentral lists this ribosomal RNA (418 nucleotides) under uncultured bacterium. Its description in RNAcentral is "bacterial SSU rRNA". It matches the Rfam family "Bacterial small subunit ribosomal RNA", at positions 29 to 489 of the family's 1533-position model. The record is from RNAcentral.
AGCGAACGCUGGCGGCAGGCUUAACACAUGCAAGUCGAGCGGGCGUAGCAAUACGUCAGCGGCAGACGGGUGAGUAACGCGUGGGAACGUACCUUUUGGUUCGGAACAACCCAGGGAAACUUGGGCUAAUACCGGAUAAGCCCUUACGGGGAAAGAUUUAUCGCCGAAAGAUCGGCCCCGCGUCUGAUUAGCUAGUUGGUGAGGUAACGGCUCACCAAGGCGACGAUCAGUAGCUGGUCUGAGAGGAUGAUCAGCCACAUUGGGACUGAGACACGGCCCAAACUCCUACGGGAGGCAGCAGUGGGGAAUAUUGGACAAUGGGCGCAAGCCUGAUCCAGCCAUGCCGCGUGAGUGAUGAAGGCCCUAGGGUUGUAAAGCUCUUUCGACGGGGACGAUGAUGACGGUACCCGUAGAAGAA